Molecule: ribosomal RNA, 468 nt
Filed under: uncultured bacterium
Lineage: Bacteria
Description: partial 16S ribosomal RNA
Rfam family: Bacterial small subunit ribosomal RNA
Source: RNAcentral
GACGAACGCUGGCGGCGUGCUUAACACAUGCAAGUCGAACGGAAAGGCCCUGCUUUUGUGGGGUGCUCGAGUGGCGAACGGGUGAGUAACACGUGAGUAACCUGCCCUUGACUUUGGGAUAACUUCAGGAAACUGGGGCUAAUACCGGAUAGGAGCUCCUGUUGCAUUGUGGGGGUUGGAAAGUUUCGGCGGUUGGGGAUGGACUCGCGGCUUAUCAGCUUGUUGGUGGGGUAGUGGCUUACCAAGGCUUUGACGGGUAGCCGGCCUGAGAGGGUGACCGGCCACAUUGGGACUGAGAUACGGCCCAGACUCCUACGGGAGGCAGCAGUGGGGAAUAUUGCACAAUGGGCGGAAGCCUGAUGCAGCAACGCCGCGUGCGGGAUGACGGCCUUCGGGUUGUAAACCGCUUUCGCCUGUGACGAAGCGUGAGUGACGGUAAUGGGUAAAGAAGCACCGGCUAACUACGUG